Molecule: long non-coding RNA, 1251 nt
Organism: Patella vulgata (common limpet)
Lineage: Eukaryota; Metazoa; Mollusca; Gastropoda; Patellidae
Exons: 4
Source: RefSeq, a predicted model, not a curated record
UUUUUUAGUUUUUCUGUAGCCAAAAUAUUUUAUACAUAUUUUCUGAGAACUUAGUCUUCAUAUUUUCAAAACUAAGGCAUAUCAGCCACAUCUUUGUCACACACAGGCAGGACACAGAUCACUAAUGAUUUCCCCAUUGACUUUAAUAUUAAUUCUAGUCUCUUAGACCGGCUCUAACUUUUCCCAAAUUUUCGUUGAGCAGAACGCUUUCUGCCACAGAUGGAGCAACAUGUGGCAACGUCUUGAUCAAAAGCACGUACGAGGUUCACCAUGGAAAACUUGAGAUACACAAACUGGAAGUAAAGAUCAUUAAACAUGCAAUUUUCCGCCCCACAUUUCAACCUAACCAACCGCUCAACUCUUGUAUCCUUCCGCCUCAAAAUCAUGCAUAUUCACCAAAACCUGGCAGAAAAUGUAUUUUCAAACCCUUUUCUUCGAUUCUACACCAAAAGGUCAACAAAAAUCGCCAUGCGAAAGGGGGAAAACGGAAAGGGAGAGAAAGACUAAAAAUAACUUUCGCCCGGGUGACGGCGUAGAAAUAUUUGGUGAGCUGCGUCCAUUUGUUUACAAGUACAGAAAGUAGUGAGCUGAACUCAUGACCUUUGACGUUUAGAUAACGUCAUAUGUGGAUAUCGUGGCUAUGCACUGUGUCAGAUUCACUUCCCUACAGGUAGAGUGGAUCUGUCGUUCAGAUUGGUGUGUUACGUUUCGGGGAUUUUGUCUAUGUGCGUUCAGUUUGAUAGUUUUGAUAUUGGUUGAAUCUUCUUCAAUUUGAUAUAAUCUAGUGCAGUUGUUUUAGUAAAGUUCCAGCAUAGAGUUUACAGACAUUGUAAGGUAUUUCACCUUUUGACAAGUCUGGUUAGCCAGGAAACCCCUUUUCAGGGUAAGACGUUAUAUUUUAAAAGGGGUUUUUUUUACUGGAUAUUUAAUAAACUGUUAUUACACUGAACCCUUGUGUGGUUGUGUUAUUCGUAACUAGACCCCCUACAACAUUUGGAGCCCGAUAAGGGACUCGACAGUUGAAACCUAACAAGGUGUACAACGUUUGGAGUCCGGUAAUGGUUAAUGGUAAACAGAAAAAAACAGUACUGGUGUGAAUUGAUCAAACAUAACAGUGAGCUCACACGCGUGCGCGUUCGCGAGAUCUUCAAGUUGAAUAGACAGUGGCAGUGCAGUGACAUUAACUUUAUUGUGUUGUGUAUUAAUUUCUGUGUUGUUUUAUAUGUGGACUAUUAUAAGGAUAUCUAUAUA